RNAcentral lists this ribosomal RNA (2712 nucleotides) under Vibrio cholerae. Its description in RNAcentral is "23S ribosomal RNA". It matches the Rfam family "Bacterial large subunit ribosomal RNA". Lineage: Bacteria; Pseudomonadati; Pseudomonadota; Gammaproteobacteria; Vibrionales; Vibrionaceae. The record is from RNAcentral.
AGCAAACCGGGGGAACUGAAACAUCUAAGUACCCCGAGGAGAAGAAAUCAACCGAGAUUCCGGUAGUAGCGGCGAGCGAACCUGGAUUAGCCCUUAAGCACUCGUUGAAGUAGGUGAACAAGCUGGAAAGCUUGGCGAUACAGGGUGAUAGCCCCGUAACCGACGCUUCAUCGAGCGUGAAAUCGAGUAGGGCGGGACACGUGAUAUCCUGUCUGAAUAUGGGGGGACCAUCCUCCAAGGCUAAAUACUCCUGACUGACCGAUAGUGAACCAGUACCGUGAGGGAAAGGCGAAAAGAACCCCUGUGAGGGGAGUGAAAUAGAACCUGAAACCGUGUACGUACAAGCAGUAGGAGCACCUUCGUGGUGUGACUGCGUACCUUUUGUAUAAUGGGUCAGCGACUUAUAUUCAGUGGCAAGGUUAACCGUAUAGGGGAGCCGUAGCGAAAGCGAGUCUUAACUGGGCGCUCAGUCUCUGGAUAUAGACCCGAAACCGGGUGAUCUAGCCAUGGGCAGGUUGAAGGUUGAGUAACAUCAACUGGAGGACCGAACCGACUAAUGUUGAAAAAUUAGCGGAUGACUUGUGGCUAGGGGUGAAAGGCCAAUCAAACUCGGAGAUAGCUGGUUCUCCCCGAAAGCUAUUUAGGUAGCGCCUCGGACGAAUACUACUGGGGGUAGAGCACUGUUAAGGCUAGGGGGUCAUCCCGACUUACCAACCCUUUGCAAACUCCGAAUACCAGUAAGUACUAUCCGGGAGACACACGGCGGGUGCUAACGUCCGUCGUGGAGAGGGAAACAACCCAGACCGCCAGCUAAGGUCCCAAAGUAUUGCUAAGUGGGAAACGAUGUGGGAAGGCUCAGACAGCUAGGAUGUUGGCUUAGAAGCAGCCAUCAUUUAAAGAAAGCGUAAUAGCUCACUAGUCGAGUCGGCCUGCGCGGAAGAUGUAACGGGGCUAAGCAAUACACCGAAGCUGCGGCAAUGCCUUUUAGGUAUUGGGUAGGGGAGCGUUCUGUAAGCCGUUGAAGGUGGUCUGUAAGGGCUGCUGGAGGUAUCAGAAGUGCGAAUGCUGACAUGAGUAACGACAAAGGGGGUGAAAAACCUCCUCGCCGGAAGACCAAGGGUUCCUGUCCAACGUUAAUCGGGGCAGGGUGAGUCGACCCCUAAGGUGAGGCCGAAAGGCGUAAUCGAUGGGAAACGGGUUAAUAUUCCCGUACUUCUGACUAUUGCGAUGGGGGGACGGAGAAGGCUAGGUGGGCCAGGCGACGGUUGUCCUGGUUCAAGUGCGUAGGCUUAAGAGUUAGGUAAAUCCGGCUCUUUAUAAGGCUGAGACACGACGUCGAGCUGCUACGGCAGUGAAGUCAUUGAUGCCAUGCUUCCAGGAAAAGCCUCUAAGCUUCAGAUAGUCAGGAAUCGUACCCCAAACCGACACAGGUGGUCGGGUAGAGAAUACCAAGGCGCUUGAGAGAACUCGGGUGAAGGAACUAGGCAAAAUGGUACCGUAACUUCGGGAGAAGGUACGCUCUUGAUGGUGAAGUCCCUUGCGGAUGGAGCUGACGAGAGUCGCAGAUACCAGGUGGCUGCAACUGUUUAUUAAAAACACAGCACUGUGCAAAAUCGCAAGAUGACGUAUACGGUGUGACGCCUGCCCGGUGCCGGAAGGUUAAUUGAUGGGGUUAGCGCAAGCGAAGCUCUUGAUCGAAGCCCCGGUAAACGGCGGCCGUAACUAUAACGGUCCUAAGGUAGCGAAAUUCCUUGUCGGGUAAGUUCCGACCUGCACGAAUGGCGUAAUGAUGGCCACGCUGUCUCCACCCGAGACUCAGUGAAAUUGAAAUCGCUGUGAAGAUGCAGUGUACCCGCGGCUAGACGGAAAGACCCCGUGAACCUUUACUACAGCUUGGCACUGAACAUUGAACCUACAUGUGUAGGAUAGGUGGGAGGCUAUGAAGACGUGACGCUAGUUGCGUUGGAGCCGUCCUUGAAAUACCACCCUUGUAUGUUUGAUGUUCUAACUUAGCCCCAUUAUCUGGGGUGAGGACAGUGCCUGGUGGGUAGUUUGACUGGGGCGGUCUCCUCCCAAAGAGUAACGGAGGAGCACGAAGGUGGGCUAAUCACGGUUGGACAUCGUGAGGUUAGUGCAAUGGCAUAAGCCCGCUUAACUGCGAGAAUGACGGUUCGAGCAGGUGCGAAAGCAGGUCAUAGUGAUCCGGUGGUUCUGUAUGGAAGGGCCAUCGCUCAACGGAUAAAAGGUACUCCGGGGAUAACAGGCUGAUACCGCCCAAGAGUUCAUAUCGACGGCGGUGUUUGGCACCUCGAUGUCGGCUCAUCACAUCCUGGGGCUGAAGUCGGUCCCAAGGGUAUGGCUGUUCGCCAUUUAAAGUGGUACGCGAGCUGGGUUUAGAACGUCGUGAGACAGUUCGGUCCCUAUCUGCCGUGGGCGUUGGAAGAUUGAAGGGGGCUGCUCCUAGUACGAGAGGACCGGAGUGGACGAACCUCUGGUGUUCGGGUUGUGUCGCCAGACGCAUUGCCCGGUAGCUAAGUUCGGAAUUGAUAAGCGCUGAAAGCAUCUAAGCGCGAAGCGAGCCCUGAGAUGAGUCUUCCCUGACGGUUUAACCGUCCUAAAGGGUUGUUCGAGACUAGAACGUUGAUAGGCAGGGUGUGUAAGCGUUGUGAGGCGUUGAGCUAACCUGUACUAAUUGCCCGUGAGGCUUAACCA